RNAcentral lists this long non-coding RNA (2263 nucleotides) under Ficedula albicollis (Collared flycatcher). RNAcentral describes it as "lncRNA (ENSFALG00000028947.1)". Lineage: Eukaryota; Metazoa; Chordata; Aves; Passeriformes; Muscicapidae. The record is from RNAcentral.
AGGCAAGUUUCAGUGGUCUUUUGGCCGUGUUCCCUAACUUAGCAAUGUUUGAUUAGCAAAGCUUUCUGCAUACUCUGUUACAGUCCCCAUGGCCCCAGGGCUGCAGCUCCACAGGAGGGACCUUUCCCCGGGGCACUGCAUGGGCCACCUCACUCUCUCCCCAGCCUGCUGGGAAAUGAAGAGUAUAUCUCUCUCCAAAAUUUCUGCUGCUCUGGAGUCUGAGGAGCACCCCUUGCCUUCUCUCUGGGCCUCCUGGGCACAUGGAGGGGUGGGAUGAGACCUUCACCCAGCCUAGCUGCUGGUUAUUGCUCCUUGCAAAUCCUCAUGGGCCCAUGAUCCUGCAGCUUGGAGUAGUUUGGGGUUACAAACACUGCAUUCAGGGCAAUUCCUUGGCAUCACCUCCAGUUCCAGGAUCAGUGUGGUGAGUGAACACUUGCCUUUGAUGUGGCUACUGAAGGCUGAUGUUAUAGGGCUGGUUGUUACAGCUCCUGUAUAAUGUAAAUUACACAUUUAGCACAGGUGACCCAGGAGGAAAGGCAGGCACUGAAACCUGAGCCAGGGAAUGGGGCAGCUGUGGAGAAUGUGGGGCAGCUACAGGUCCUGGCUGUGAGAUGGGACAGGCCUGCAAUGGGGCAGCUGUGGAGAAUGUGGGGCAGCUGCAGGUCCUGGCACUGGGGUGGGACAGGCCUGGCAGGACCCAGGGGUCUGCUCAGCUGGUGGAGGGUUCCAGGUUGCUCAUUAAAAAGAAAGCGAUCAAAAUGAACACCAACAACAAAAGAUAAAGCAAACCACUCACGAAGAGUGGAGAAGAGAAAUGGUGUGGGAAGGUUCUGGCUGCUCUUGGAAAGAUUUUCAGCUGUGCCCCAGCCCAGCACUGCCUCUCAGGAGGAGCUGGGCUACAGGCAUUUCAAACCUAUGCCAAACACAAAUGCAAAUUCUGGCAUUUCACUGUUUUGCAGGGGACUGAGCCCUGCUGAGUUGCUGCUUCUGAGGGGACAGAGCUCGAUGGCACUGCCAGUGUCUCUGCACAUGGCCCUGGGUGAUGAGGAGGAGGAGCCACAGCCACAGCUUGGUUUCUUAGAAGGGGAUGUGGUGGGAGGUACCUGCAGCCAAGGUUACCUUUUUGGAGCUUAAGAGAUGAGAAAGAGGAAAGAGAGAACCAUGGAUAGGAAGAGAGAUGGAUGAAAAAGUGAGAAACCUCAGGUAGGCACAAAUCUUAGAGGUUUGGGAUUUUUUAAUUAUCACAAUUUAGUGCUCAAAGAUCAGCCCUGCUAAUGCUGUUCUGGGGUAAAUUUAUUUAGAUCAGCCCCUGCUCUUGGAAAAGGAGCAGUACAAAUGUGAGGUGGGAGCGUGCAGACUUUUUGUGUUCUUACAUUAUGGAUGGACCUUGUUUUCCAGCUGCCAAAAGCCAGGCAAAAUUCAGGAAGGUGCAGGGCUGAGGAGGGGCAGUUCUGUGGGUCCCACUGCUACCAGGCUCAGUAGAAAUUUAACAAUCAUUUUCCAGCAAAAACCUUGUCAAGUGUCUUCUGAAAGUAUGCAGUUCCUCCAACUAUAGUACCUUAAACUGCAUUCCCAGUAAUCCAGAGGUAUUUCUAGCAUGUUUAACAAUAGGUUUUGUAUGUUUUGGCUCAAUUGUCAAGAUUUGAUUGAGGCAGACAAUCCAAUUAACCAAAAUUGGAAUUUUUCCCUUGGUAAAGACUUCAGGCUUGACCCCUAAAUCAGUAAAAUCAUCAUCAUCCAGAAAACUGGACUGUUUAGGUAGAGGCAGGUGCAGCUUCCUUUGAUUUUUGUCCUCAUGCUAGUGAGGUAUUUGGAUAUUUUGCUAAAAAUCCUGCUGUGGAAGGGAAAGGGCUCAGGAAAGCAAGCCUGUUAUCUAAAAAAGCUUCAGGAACUAUAAAUAGGCUGAGAGUUUCUCCAGAAACCUGGAGAGCUGGGAGGAGGAUGAGGGGGGAGCAUUCUGUGAGGACUCUGUGUUACCUCAGCACCUGAAGUCUCAGAACCAAUUUGAAAUUCCAGUGUCCUAAGGCACGACAAUUUUGAUUAAUGAAGAUGGGAAUAAGGAGCAGAGGGAAGAGCUGGCUGCCAGGACAGAACAAAAGCAGCAUUUGUUCAUGUGGACAAACGUUGCAGAAGAGGAGGGAAGAUGGGCUGUGGGUGUUCCCAGGCUGCUCUGACACUGUGGAAGCAUCCUGACUCUGCCUGUGGAAUUUCUACACACAGGCUGAGAAGGAAGACAAGUUUAAGAAGUGGGGCUUUUGUAGAA